RNAcentral lists this ribosomal RNA (808 nucleotides) under uncultured bacterium. RNAcentral describes it as "bacterial SSU rRNA". It matches the Rfam family "Bacterial small subunit ribosomal RNA", at positions 1 to 809 of the family's 1533-position model. The record is from RNAcentral.
UUAGAGUUUGAUCCUGGCUCAGAUUGAACGCUGGCGGCAGGCCUAACACAUGCAAGUCGAGCGGAUGAAGAGAGCUUGCUCUCUGAUUCAGCGGCGGACGGGUGAGUAAUGCCUAGGAAUCUGCCUGGUAGUGGGGGACAACGUUUCGAAAGGAACGCUAAUACCGCAUACGUCCUACGGGAGAAAGCAGGGGACCUUCGGGCCUUGCGCUAUCAGAUGAGCCUAGGUCGGAUUAGCUAGUAGGUGAGGUAAUGGCUCACCUAGGCGACGAUCCGUAACUGGUCUGAGAGGAUGAUCAGUCACACUGGAACUGAGACACGGUCCAGACUCCUACGGGAGGCAGCAGUGGGGAAUAUUGGACAAUGGGCGAAAGCCUGAUCCAGCCAUGCCGCGUGUGUGAAGAAGGUCUUCGGAUUGUAAAGCACUUUAAGUUGGGAGGAAGGGCAGUAAGUUAAUACCUUGCUGUUUUGACGUUACCAACAGAAUAAGCACCGGCUAACUUCGUGCCAGCAGCCGCGGUAAUACGAAGGGUGCAAGCGUUAAUCGGAAUUACUGGGCGUAAAGCGCGCGUAGGUGGUUCAGCAAGUUGGAGGUGAAAUCCCCGGGCUCAACCUGGGAACUGCCUCCAAAACUACUGAGCUAGAGUACGGUAGAGGGUAGUGGAAUUUCCUGUGUAGCGGUGAAAUGCGUAGAUAUAGGAAGGAACACCAGUGGCGAAGGCGACUACCUGGACUGAUACUGACACUGAGGUGCGAAAGCGUGGGGAGCAAACAGGAUAAGAUACCCUGGUAGUCCACGCCGUAAACGA